This is a long non-coding RNA of Maniola jurtina (meadow brown), 1342 nucleotides long. RefSeq lists it as uncharacterized. The transcript has 2 exons. The record is from RefSeq and is a predicted model, not a curated record. Lineage: Eukaryota; Metazoa; Arthropoda; Insecta; Lepidoptera; Nymphalidae.
CUGGACACUUUCAAUUAAAGAUUUUUAUAUAAACCUGUAGAGAUGAUACUGCCAUUGGCGCUAUUAGAAUCCCAUAAGCCUUCUUUGUCGUAUAGUUACAAAUUAUGAAAUACCAAAUUAAAUUUGAAUUUCGCAGGCAGACCCAUCUAGUGCACCUUAAAAUGAUUUAUGAUCUUUAAUAAUGUAGUAGGUAUUUAAUUAAAAUACAGGGUUUUGAUGGUAAUGCAUUUAUUGAACAACAAAUAGGACAUGUACAUGACAUUUAAUUUUAAUUAAUAAAUAAUAUCAUAUAUGACAAUAAUAUAACUACGAAUAUAAUAUGAUUCAGCGCCAACAUAAGUAAUGUAUCACUAAAAACAAUAACUAGACAGUUAAAAUUUAUAUAUUCAACAUACUUAUAAAUAUAUUUUAAGUUAUAUUAAAAAUAUGUGUGUCAAAACAUGUUUUCCUUUUAUGUGGGUAAUAGUAACAUUAAUUUUAAACAUGGAAUCGUUUGUCUGUAGGUAAAUGUAGGUGUGUUCAUUCAAUGUAUAAAAUAGCGAUCACUAUUACCUAUGUAUGUAGUUAGUAGCUUAAAACUUCAAUAUAAAAUAUACUGCAAAGCAGAUGUUUUGAGACUUAUUCUACAAGGACUAUUAUUCAUCUCAUCAUAAAAUUAUAUAUAUAGGCAUUUCUGAAUCUAUUUUUUUUUAUAAAGGCAAUAUGGACGGUACCUGCCAAGCAUCAUAAUUUAUGUUUUCGGAUUACAAAUGCAUACCAAAUGCAUUAAUUAAUAAAACAAAAUUCCUUAAAAGUAACUUAAUAAUUACAACUAUAAUAUCUAGUAUACAAUAAUAAUGAUAAAAAUAUAUUUUAAGCAUCAAAAAUAAAUUUGUAGUAGACCGAUUCGAAUUUUUAUUUCGAGCGUUACGCAGUGAAAAUAAAAAUCUAUACGACUAUUCACUUAACACAUAACUUACAACCAAAAUGUUAUAACAUUGAGAUAGGGAAACUUAACUAAACAAUAAUAGUAUAAUUUAGAGCUGAUUUUUCGAUCGCUGGAUAAACUUUAACUCAUGAAUUAAUUUGAAGUAUUGACAGAUUUCCUAUACAAUAACUGUCAAAGCCUCAACUCCUUAGAUAAAAGUUAUAUGACGAUCGAAAAAUCGUUUUUUUUAAAUUAUAUUUUCUGAGUAGAUUUUCCUUUUGGAAUCGCAAACAAAAUGGAAAAGAGAAGCACCUUUUCACAUCAUCUCAAUACCUCUCACUCUAUAUAAUUACGAGUUUUGUAUAGUUAGUUAGGAUAACAAUAAUCUGAUUGUUAUAAUCUUACCGAAUGGAGGUACGAGAGCUUGUAAAGUGA